This 303-nucleotide unclassified non-coding RNA is filed under the name Hevea brasiliensis (rubber tree). The record is from RNAcentral. Lineage: Eukaryota; Viridiplantae; Streptophyta; Magnoliopsida; Malpighiales; Euphorbiaceae.
CCCAGAAGUUCGCUUCUUCUUGGGCUUCUUGAUAAGCCUCUCUUCGACUUCUUCUCUCCAGUUGUAGCCGGCUUUGCUUUCUCUUCUUUCAUGCCUUAGUUGCCUUCUCUCUCUAGCUGUUAGCUCAUGUAUCUGGUUAUUAGUGGAGUCGAGAGUUGCUGUGAUUGAUGAAGAGGCGCGUUUUGUUCUAAGGAUUGGGAGGGAAAUGGAGGGGAGCGAGGACGGAGAGAGAGCGUGAUGGCAAGGACUCCACAGAAGAAGCCCCUGCUUCAUCUUUCAGUGUUGAUGAAGUUGCUGUGAAUC